Molecule: long non-coding RNA, 2092 nt
Organism: Carya illinoinensis
Lineage: Eukaryota; Viridiplantae; Streptophyta; Magnoliopsida; Fagales; Juglandaceae
Exons: 2
Source: RefSeq, a predicted model, not a curated record
UAGACACAUAAGCUUGACAAGCCAUGCACAUGAGCGCCACGUGUAUAAAAUUAAAAAAAAAAAAUCAUUCAAAAACAACAUUUAAAAAAAAAACAUGAAAAAUUAAUAUACAACUAAGUUAAGGUACAAGAUGCAUGCUCCCCCUUCCCUUUCUCAGCUCGUUAUAAGAUGCAGUACAUCUUCUGUAUCUGUACUUCAGUUUUUGCAUGUACUACAAAAAUCUGAUAUGCUAUAUAUAAGAAACCGUGAAAACUCCCAUGAUGAUCGAUCCAUUAAUAUCUUCCCUCAAAUUUCUUCAACCUCUUAAUUAAUUACAGCUGAUCCAUUGCAAAUGCUUUAAUUUGGUCUCCAACACAUCUCAUUCGACGUUUCAUGUACUUCCAAGCUCUUUCAGUCUGGUGUCCCAACAUCGAUCUGGUGUGUCUGAUCCGAUCAAUACAUUUUGGUUACAUGGGACUCGAUCGAGUACUGUCUGAGGUGCUCCAGAUGAAACUAGGCCAACCCAAAGGUAAUUAAUUAAUUAGGAUUUAUCUCUAUAAUAGAUUUGAUCAAUAGUAAUAACGAGUGGGGGUAAAACUUUCUUUAUAAAAACACCUCAAGAACUAUCUAUUUUUAUUUAUCUUUUGAAAAACUAACUCUUUAUUUCCAAACAUGAGCUGAGUCAGCGGAGUUGGAAGCUAUCUCUAACGACAACAAGUACGAUAAGUCAUGUGGUCAAAUAGAUCAUAAACGACUUUUGAAGGGUAGCUAGCUUGCUUUAGAGUGAGUUCUUUCUUUCUUGUUUGUUCUCUCAAAGAUGGAUUGAUCAAUUCAUUGGGGAGAUCAGCAAAUUAAGCUAGCGAAGUUCGUUUUGUAUUCAAUUUUCCAAAGAUGACAAUGCACCCUUAGAUAUAUGUUUUAAGGUUAAUGAGAUAUUAAUUGUUCCACUAAUUUAAUUAGUUGGAUAUGUACUAAUGACCAAUGUUGUAGUUUUCUAUAUAUAUAUAUAGAAAAUACUUUAGCCACAAACGGAUUACACAAAAGUAAACUCAUAAACUUAUGUGGCUUUAUAUGGUUCGUCAUAGUUAUUUUUAUUACAAAUCAGAUUUAACGAAUUUCAUGAAACUAUAUCAGUUUGUAAGUUUAUUUUGUAUAAUUUUUUUAUAUUUGUAGCAGUUAUCUAUAUGUGCCAAUUGAUCAAAGUAGUCACAGAAAAAUUUAAGUGAUCAAGUGAAUAUAGAGUGUAUUUCCUAGUGUCUGGUGAGGGGAUCAGUUGCAGAUCAAAUGGAACUAAACAAGAUAGCUAGGCUUGAUCUUUGGGUUUCUGGGGUUUUUGUUUUUGGAUGGGAUACUACUUUGUAAGGCCAAAAACGUCCAUGCCACUACAACUUUAUUGUAAGUUUCUGCUAUAUAUAUUAAUCUCAUGCUUCUAAUUCAGGCAUCGAUGGAUGAUCAGGGCCUUAUUGUCACGGCUAGCUUUAACACAUGAAUUAAUAUAGAAAUUAAUGCAUCAGUUCAUCAAAUCUAACUAAAUUUGGAGAAAAACAUGUAUGCACGUAGGUACAGUAUACUAUAUGUUGUCUCUGUUUUCACUACUUUAGUAGAGUAUUCUCCUCCAGAAAUGUAACAUGUUCAUAUGGAAGAGAGCUUGCUGAAGAAACAUCAACUGAGGCCAGAGCAAAGGAAUACAAAACUACUUUUUCCCCAAAACAUUUUCUCCAGCUGGCCGCUCGCUGUAGACUUACAAAAUUUGGAGUAUAAAAGUAAAUAUAUUCAUUCAACGAUGGGAAAGUUCCGACCAACUACGCGUCUUUACACCUUUAAUUUGUCGGUUGAAAACCAAGCAGGCACCGAGUGAAGCAAACAAGGAAUCUAUGGUCGGAUGGUCUUGAAAACAUUGCACAAUACCCUAUUCAACCAGGAAAAAACUUCACAUAUGAGGUUAUAUUUUCAGAUGAGGAAGGAACUCUUUGGUGGCAUGCCCACAAUGAUUGGUCCCGGGCCACCAUUCAUGGUGCCAUUGUCAUCUUACCUGAAAACGGUAACUGAUUAGAGAAUAUAACGUUAUCAAAUUGCAAAAUCUUCUUGAUUUGAAAAUUUUAAUUUUAUAAAA